Molecule: ribosomal RNA, 504 nt
Filed under: uncultured bacterium
Lineage: Bacteria
Description: bacterial SSU rRNA
Rfam family: Bacterial small subunit ribosomal RNA
Source: RNAcentral
CGCUGGCGGCUGCCUAACACAUGCAAGUCGGACGCUUGUCGGGCUUCGGUCCGGCAGGAGUGGCGCAUGGGUGAGUAGCGCGUGGGAACCUGCCCUGUUGUGGGGGAUAACCGAGGGAAACUUCGGCUAAUACCGCAUGCGCCCCGGACUUUCGGGUUUGGGGGAAAGAUUGAUUCGCAGCAGGAGGGGCCCGCGUCGGAUUAGCUGGUUGGCGGGGUAACGGCCCACCAAGGCGAUGAUCCGUAGCUGGUCUGAGAGGAUGAUCAGCCACACUGGGACUGAGACACGGCUCAGACUCCUACGGGAGGCAGCAGUGGGGAAUAUUGGACAAUGGGCGCAAGCCUGACCCAGCAAUGCCGCGUGAGUGAUGAAGGCCUUCGGGUUGUAAAGCUCUUUCGCCCGCGACGAUGAUGACGGUAGCGGGAGAAGAAGCCCCGGCUAACUUCGUGCCAGCAGCCGCGGUAAUACGAAGGGGACGAGCGUUGUUCGGAAUCACUGGGCGUA